Molecule: ribosomal RNA, 497 nt
Filed under: uncultured bacterium
Lineage: Bacteria
Description: partial 16S ribosomal RNA
Rfam family: Bacterial small subunit ribosomal RNA
Source: RNAcentral
GAUGAACGCUGGCGGCGUGCCUAAUACAUGCAAGUCGAGCGAACAGACGAGGAGCUUGCUCCUCUGACGUUAGCGGCGGACGGGUGAGUAACACGUGGAUAACCUACCUAUAAGACUGGGAUAACUUCGGGAAACCGGAGCUAAUACCGGAUAAUAUAUUGAACCGCAUGGUUCAAUAGUGAAAGACGGUUUUGCUGUCACUUAUAGAUGGAUCCGCGUCGCAUUAGCUAGUUGGUAAGGUAACGGCUUACCAAGGCAACGAUGCGUAGCCGACCUGAGAGGGUGAUCGGCCACACUGGAACUGAGACACGGUCCAGACUCCUACGGGAGGCAGCAGUAGGGAAUCUUGCGCAAUGGGCGAAAGCCUGACGGAGCAACGCCGCGUGAGUGAUGAAGGUCUUCGGAUCGUAAAACUCUGUUAUUAGGGAAGAACAAAUGUGUAAGUAACUAUGCACGUCUUGACGGUACCUAAUCAGAAAGCCACGGCUAACUACGUG